GACGAACGCUGGCGGCGUGCUUAACACAUGCAAGUCGAGCGGUAAGGCCCUUCGGGUACGACGAGCGGCGAACGGUGAGUAACACGUGGGUGACCUGCCUUUAGCUCUGGGAUAAGCCUGGGAAACUGGGUCUAAUACCGGAUAUGACCUCAUGACGCAUGUUGUGGGGUGGAAAGCCUUGUGCGGCUAGAGAUGGGCCCGCGGCCUAUCAGCUUGUUGGUGGGGUGAUGGCCUACCAAGGCGACGAUCCGUAGCUGGUCUGAGAGGACGAUCAGCCACACUGGGACUGAGACACGGCCCAGACUCCUACGGGAGGCAGCGAGUGGGGAAGUCUUGCCCAAUGGGCGAAAGCCUGAGGCAGCGACGCCGCGUGAGGGAAGAAGGCCU
RNAcentral lists this ribosomal RNA (387 nucleotides) under uncultured bacterium. RNAcentral describes it as "bacterial SSU rRNA". It matches the Rfam family "Bacterial small subunit ribosomal RNA", at positions 28 to 417 of the family's 1533-position model. The record is from RNAcentral.